This 29-nucleotide non-coding RNA is filed under the name Rattus norvegicus (Norway rat). The record is from RNAcentral. Lineage: Eukaryota; Metazoa; Chordata; Mammalia; Rodentia; Muridae.
UAUUUCUAGAUGUGUGUUUGACUGACUAC